RNAcentral lists this long non-coding RNA (752 nucleotides) under Homo sapiens (human). RNAcentral describes it as "long non-coding RNA NONHSAT217490.1". The record is from RNAcentral. Lineage: Eukaryota; Metazoa; Chordata; Mammalia; Primates; Hominidae.
GUUUCUUUUUCUGCAUCCGCUGCUCUGUUAAGUGAUCACCACAUUCAUUGUUCUCGUUUCUAUUAUUUCUGAAAAAAAUCUUCAGGAUUCUGCUUGUGGGAGUGGAUGACAUUUUUACAGUGUUUACAGGCUGAAAAUUUUUCGAGCUUUUAUGCUCUGCUUCCGUUAUAAGGAGGAGGCCUCACAAUCCUGGUGGAAGGCAAGGAGGAGCAAGUCACAUCUUAUGUGGAUGGCAGCAGGCAAAGAAAGCUUAUGCAGACACAAAAUGAACAAGAUGUCUGUGGCAACCCUCAGACCAUUGACGCCUUCUCUCCUAUGUAUCAAAUCACACAUUUGGACGUUGACUGAACCCUCACAUGUCAGAUGCUCAAUAUUGAGGUAUAGUAAAAGGGAGCAUGAACUUGAGAAAAUACGCUUUCAACACAAAGCUGUAAUAAUAUAAGGUCAAAUAAGAUUCUGCAUUGGAGAUAGAAAACUCUGAAGGAAGCUUUAUCUAUUCCAGAAUGUCAUAUAGCUGGUAUAAGAAAGAACACUAAUCAUUCCUAAGGAAGAAAAUUAACAACGCCGUGAGUUAUAAUAUCUGGCUGAAACUGAAGGAGCUCUGUGUAAUUAAAAGUCCUUUCUGCCCUGCCUGGCCAUGGUUCUGUAUGCAUUGAUGUCUUACAAACUGAAAAAAAAAAAAGUUAUUUUCUCAUCUCCAUUCCCUAGCAUAGAGGUUCAGGGGGCCCAUGUACAGGUUUGUUACAUGGGUG